This 430-nucleotide long non-coding RNA is filed under the name Erythranthe guttata (spotted monkey flower). RNAcentral describes it as "long non-coding RNA (EGUT_LNC001485)". Lineage: Eukaryota; Viridiplantae; Streptophyta; Magnoliopsida; Lamiales; Phrymaceae. The record is from RNAcentral.
CAAACUCGACCACUUUGGCUAACCUUAGGGGCCAAUUUAUCAAAAAAAAAAAAAAAAAUCCAAAUUAGGCCGUUUUAUUCGUUGAAACACGAACUCUUGACAAUGCAAUCUAAGACAAACAAGAUAGCUUCCGAUUUAAAAAAAAAAAAUCGACAUAAUAUACAAGGUUAGUAGACGAAACGAGGAGGAUGGAUCUGUACAACAAUGAGUUGAUAUCAAUCAGCCUUGAGCAUCGUUAAUUUAGUAAAUCAAGAAUAAAUAAUUAUCGGAAAGAAGCUCCAGCAAACGGGGUGAUCUAGAUAAAAAUAAAAUAAAAAAUAAAAAACGGGGGUUCGUAGUUAUUCGCCCUUGACCAUAAGAGAGUGAUGUGGGCACACGUUUAAUUUCGACAAACGUUGAGAACUCUUUGUUCAUCCGGUUGUUUCCAUGG